This 833-nucleotide ribosomal RNA is filed under the name Escherichia coli. RNAcentral's name for it is "partial 23S ribosomal RNA". It matches the Rfam family "Bacterial large subunit ribosomal RNA", at positions 354 to 1191 of the family's 2925-position model. Lineage: Bacteria; Pseudomonadati; Pseudomonadota; Gammaproteobacteria; Enterobacterales; Enterobacteriaceae. The record is from RNAcentral.
GCGAUACAGGGUGACAGCCCCGUACACAAAAAUGCACAUACUGUGAGCUCGAUGAGUAGGGCGGGACACGUGGUAUCCUGUCUGAAUAUGGGGGGACCAUCCUCCAAGGCUAAAUACUCCUGACUGACCGAUAGUGAACCAGUACCGUGAGGGAAAGGCGAAAAGAACCCCGGCGAGGGGAGUGAAAAAGAACCUGAAACCGUGUACGUACAAGCAGUGGGAGCCUCUUUUAUGGGGUGACUGCGUACCUUUUGUAUAAUGGGUCAGCGACUUAUAUUCUGUAGCAAGGUUAACCGAAUAGGGGAGCCGAAGGGAAACCGAGUCUUAACUGGGCGUUAAGUUGCAGGGUAUAGACCCGAAACCCGGUGAUCUAGCCAUGGGCAGGUUGAAGGUUGGGUAACACUAACUGGAGGACCGAACCGACUAAUGUUGAAAAAUUAGCGGAUGACUUGUGGCUGGGGGUGAAAGGCCAAUCAAACCGGGAGAUAGCUGGUUCUCCCCGAAAGCUAUUUAGGUAGCGCCUCGUGAAUUCAUCUCCGGGGGUAGAGCACUGUUUCGGCAAGGGGGUCAUCCCGACUUACCAACCCGAUGCAAACUGCGAAUACCGGAGAAUGUUAUCACGGGAGACACACGGCGGGUGCUAACGUCCGUCGUGAAGAGGGAAACAACCCAGACCGCCAGCUAAGGUCCCAAAGUCAUGGUUAAGUGGGAAACGAUGUGGGAAGGCCCAGACAGCCAGGAUGUUGGCUUAGAAGCAGCCAUCAUUUAAAGAAAGCGUAAUAGCUCACUGGUCGAGUCGGCCUGCGCGGAAGAUGUAACGGGGCUAAACCAUG